CCUAAUUAAAACUAUAUUUGCAUUUGCAUGCAUGUACGAAACCCUCGGUCCAUUAAAUUCUUUGGUUAAGAAAAUCAAAUUAUUUUACUUACUGAAACUUAGGGUUUCUACGUUACGUAUAAAACUGGGGUCCACCUCAAGGAAGACUAGCAGCCUCAUCAACCCAUCGAGAGGUGGCCACGUCGUUGCAUCCGACGCCUCAUGUCUGCCCUCCUCGCAACAGAGAACGCGGCGGUGACGUAAAAAGUCUACGGUUGAUUUAUAUUUUAAUUUCUCUGUUAUAUUAUUUAAUUCAAUUUGUUAAUUUUAUAAUUACUGAUAGCUCUCUGUGUGUGUUAUUAUAUAUUUUGCUUACAUGCGACGUACUUCUUAUUCACAAGUCUGAU
RNAcentral lists this long non-coding RNA (386 nucleotides) under Citrus x clementina. RNAcentral's name for it is "Citrus clementina (C. clementina) long non-coding RNA (CCLE_LNC005707)". The record is from RNAcentral. Lineage: Eukaryota; Viridiplantae; Streptophyta; Magnoliopsida; Sapindales; Rutaceae.